Molecule: transfer RNA, 76 nt
Filed under: Eubacterium sp.
Lineage: Bacteria; Bacillati; Bacillota; Clostridia; Eubacteriales; Eubacteriaceae
Also listed under: 10 other names
Description: tRNA-Val
Rfam family: tRNA
About the family: Transfer RNA (tRNA) molecules are approximately 80 nucleotides in length. Their secondary structure includes four short double-helical elements and three loops (D, anti-codon, and T loops).
Source: RNAcentral
GGGCGCUUAGCUCAGCUGGGAGAGCAUCUGCCUUACAAGCAGGAGGUCAUAGGUUCGAGCCCUAUAGCGCCCACCA